GGGGCCGCUUUCCGGAUUAUUGGGCGUAAGAGCUCGUAGGCGGUUUGUCGCGUCUGCCGUGAAAGUCCGGGGCUCAACUCCGGAUCUGCGGUGGGUACGGGCAGACUAGAGUGAUGUAGGGGAGACUGGAAUUCCUGGUGUAGCGGUGAAAUGCGCAGAUAUCAGGAGGAACACCGAUGGCGAAGGCAGGUCUCUGGGCAUUAACUGACGCUGAGGAGCGAAAGCAUGGGGAGCGAACAGGAUUAGAUACCCUGGUAGUCCAUGCCGUAAACGUUGGGCACUAGGUGUGGGGGACAUUCCACGUUUUCCGCGCCGUAGCUAACGCAUUAAGUGCCCCGCCUGGGGAGUACGGCCGCAAGGCUAAAACUCAAAGGAAUUGACGGGGGCCCGCACAAGCGGCGGAGCAUGCGGAUUAAUUCGAUGCAACGCGAAGAACCUUACCAAGGCUUGACAUGGGCCGGACCGGGCUGGAAACAGUCCUUCCCCUUUGGGGCCGGUUCACAGGUGGUGCAUGGUUGUCGUCAGCUCGUGUCGUGAGAUGUUGGGUUAAGUCCCGCAACGAGCGCAACCCUCGUUCCAUGUUGCCAGCGCGUAAUGGCGGGGACUCAUGGGAGACUGCCGGGGUCAACUCGGAGGAAGGUGGGGACGACGUCAAAUCAUCAUGCCCCUUAUGUCUUGGGCUUCACGCAUGCUACAAUGGCCGGUACAAAGGGUUGCGAUACUGUGAGGUGGAGCUAAUCCCAAAAAGCCGGUCUCAGUUCGGAUUGGGGUCUGCAACUCGACCCCAUGAAGUCGGAGUCGCUAGUAAUCGCAGAUCAGCAACGCUGCGGUGAAUACGUUCCCGGGCCUUGUACACACCGCCCGUCAAGUCACGAAAGUUGGUAACACCCGAAGCCGGUGGCCUAACCCCUUGUGGGAGGGAGCUGUCGAAGGUGGGACUGGCGAUUGGGACUAAGUCGUAACAAGGUAACC
Molecule: ribosomal RNA, 972 nt
Filed under: uncultured bacterium
Lineage: Bacteria
Description: bacterial SSU rRNA
Rfam family: Bacterial small subunit ribosomal RNA
Source: RNAcentral